GUCUACGGCCAUGCCACCCUAAACAAGCCUGAUGUCUGACCUCGGAAGCUAAGGAGGGUCAGGCCUGGUUAGUACUUGGAUGGGAGACCACCUAGGAAGACCAGGUGCUGUAGGCA
This 116-nucleotide ribosomal RNA is filed under the name Pteropus alecto (black flying fox). Lineage: Eukaryota; Metazoa; Chordata; Mammalia; Chiroptera; Pteropodidae. The record is from RNAcentral.